CAGUAGCCGCGGGAAAACGUAGGUGGCAAGCGUUGUCCGGAAUUAUUGGGCGUAAAGCGCGCGCAGGUGGUUUAAUAAGUCUGAUGUGAAAGCCCACGGCUCAACCGUGGAGGGUCAUUGGAAACUGUUAAACUUGAGUGCAGGAGAGAAAAGUGGAAUUCCUAGUGUAGCGGUGAAAUGCGUAGAGAUUAGGAGGAACACCAGUGGCGAAGGCGGCUUUUUGGCCUGUAACUGACACUGAGGCGCGAAAGCGUGGGGAGCAAACAGGAUUAGAUACCCCCGUAGUCCCUGUCUCUUAUAC
Molecule: ribosomal RNA, 301 nt
Filed under: uncultured bacterium
Lineage: Bacteria
Description: partial 16S ribosomal RNA
Rfam family: Bacterial small subunit ribosomal RNA
Source: RNAcentral